AUACAGAGCUGGGGAGACAAAGAGCAUGCUCAGUGAGGACUGGCAUGGAGGUCAACAGAGCAUGCUCAGUGAGGACUGGCAUGGAGGUCAUCAGAGCAUGCUCAGUGAGGACUGGCAUGGAGGUCAUCAGAGCAUGCUUCGUGAGGACUGGCAUGGAGGUCAACAGAGCAUGCUCAGUGAGGACUGGCAUGGAGGUCAUCAGAGCAUGCUCAGUGAGGACUGGCAUGGAGGUCAUCAGAGCAUGCUUCGUGAGGACUGGCAUGGAGGUCAACAGAGCAUGCUCAGUGAGGACUGGCAUGGAGGUCAUCAGAGCAUGCUUCGUGAGGACUGGCAUGGAGGUCAACAGAGCAUGCUCAGUGAGGACUGGCAUGGAGGUCAUCAGAG
Molecule: long non-coding RNA, 384 nt
Organism: Brienomyrus brachyistius
Lineage: Eukaryota; Metazoa; Chordata; Actinopteri; Osteoglossiformes; Mormyridae
Exons: 3
Source: RefSeq, a predicted model, not a curated record